GAUCCGGUGGUUCUGAAUGGAAGGGCCAUCGCUCAACGGAUAAAAGGUACUCCGGGGAUAACAGGCUGAUACCGCCCAAGAGUUCAUAUCGACGGCGGUGUUUGGCACCUCGAUGUCGGCUCAUCACAUCCUGGGGCUGAAGUAGGUCCCAAGGGUAUGGCUGUUCGCCAUUUAAAGUGGUACGCGAGCUGGGUUUAGAACGUCGUGAGACAGUUCGGUCCCUAUCUGCCGUGGGCGCUGGAGAACUGAGGGGGGCUGCUCCUAGUACGAGAGGACCGGAGUGGACGCAUCACUGGUGUUCGGGUUGUCAUGCCAAUGGCACUGCCCGGUAGCUAAAUGCGGAAGAGAUAAGUGCUGAAAGCAUCUAAGCACGAAACUUGCCCCGAGAUGAGUUCUCCCUGACUCCUUGAGAGUCCUGAAGGAACGUUGAAGACGACGACGUUGAUAGGCCGGGUGUGUAAGCGCAGCGAUGCGUUGAGCUAACCGGUACUAAUGAACCGUGAGGCUUAACCUUACAACGCCGAAG
RNAcentral lists this ribosomal RNA (526 nucleotides) under Escherichia coli. Its description in RNAcentral is "partial 23S ribosomal RNA". It matches the Rfam family "Bacterial large subunit ribosomal RNA", at positions 2417 to 2925 of the family's 2925-position model. The record is from RNAcentral. Lineage: Bacteria; Pseudomonadati; Pseudomonadota; Gammaproteobacteria; Enterobacterales; Enterobacteriaceae.